This is a long non-coding RNA of Oncorhynchus gorbuscha (pink salmon), 1822 nucleotides long. RefSeq lists it as uncharacterized. The transcript is spliced from 2 exons. Lineage: Eukaryota; Metazoa; Chordata; Actinopteri; Salmoniformes; Salmonidae. The record is from RefSeq and is a predicted model, not a curated record.
UUAGGAGGAUAGAUGGAGGGAAUGUUAGGAGGAUAGAUGGAGGGAAUGUUAGGAGGAUAGAUGGAGGGAAUGUUAGGAGGAUAGAUGGAGGGAUGAAAGGGAAAGAAGGAGGGAGGGAGAACAAGGCAAGGACAUACGACAAACAGCUGGACAAAACCAGCCUCCUGACAUGCUGGUAAAGGCAAUUUGUUGCAUUGUUCUAGACUUAGCUGUGCUGUUUGUCUCAAACCAUGACUGCUCAGGCCCUCUCCGUUCCCUUUCUCUCUCCCUCUCUGUUCUCUUUCUCUCUCUACUCACUUUCUAUGUGUGUGUCUCUCUCUAACUCUUUCUAUUUGACUCAUUCUCUCUCUUUCUCCCUCUCUCUGUCACACACCCCCACAUGCGCGCACACACACAGCAUACCAUACAUCUGACUUCAAGGGCGGUGUUGGCGUCGGCAAGAACAGGAUAUGAGAGCGUGUCUCUCUAAAAACCUUCCCCUCCAGAUGAGAACAAAGGUAGAGAAUGUUCCAGAUUCCCUGGCCGCUGCAGUCUAGGAACAUGUGGAGCCAAGAGUUGGCCAACGAGCAGUCCUUAUCUUUUCCCCCUUCUUUCCAUGCAUUUUCUCUCUGUUGUCUAGCUUGUCCAUCUCUGUUUUUGGCCUCUUGGUAAGCUAGCUUUUUGUUUCAUACUAUUAUCUCUCUGUUGUCUAGCUUGUCCAUCUCUGUUUUUGGCCUCUUGGUAAGCUAGCUUUUUGUUUCAUACUAUUAUCUCUCUGUUAGUGCAUCUGGUUCAAUCUCCUUAUCUUGUUGUCUUGUCACUCUUCUCAUUAUUUCUCCCCUCUUCUGUCUAGCAUCCCUCUUAAAACACACACAAAGACACAAACAUAGAGGUAAAUAGAGACAAAUACACACACACAAACACACAGAGACAGAGAGCCACACACACACAUACACACACACAUCCCUCAGACAGGAUUAUCCCACUCUCACAAGUUGAUCCUCUCCGGUAAGCACUGCCAGUCCCCUGUGAGCAUGUAACAGAAGCACUGCAGUCAGGGCAAGGCUGUGACCUAGAGAGUAGUGUGUUUGUUUCCUCUGUGUGUUUGUGUGUGUCUCCCGCUGUGUGUUUGUGUGUGUGUGUGUGUGUGUGUCUCCCGCUGUGUUUGUGUGUGUCAGAUCACAGGCCAAGGUCUCCUACCUGAUCCACUCUGAGGGAAUCGGCUUGCGAGUACAUUAAGAGAUUGCGGUGGGGCGCCGAGCUGAGGCUCACUGGCUCGAUUUAAAGACAUACACACAUAAUCCUGGCUGCUCUGCUCCACCUAACAAGGAUACACGUGGCAGGUGUGUCUUUCAGGGACUGUGUGUGUGUGUGAGUCGUCUCUGAACUUUACCCUACCUAUGCCCUCUCAGGCGUGCCCCUGUCUUUGGGCACCCUUACCCGCCCUAAUGUCACUUCAUCUGCCAACAGGAUAAAGAUAGAGAGGGGUGCACAGAGACGAGAGAGAGAGAGAGAGGGUGCACAGAGACGAGAGAGAGAGAGAGGGGUGCACAGAGACGAGAGAGAGAGAGGGGUGCACAGAGACGAGAGAGGGGUGCACAGAGGUUAUCCCACACCAUAAUGCCAUCCUGCCCAGCCUGAUCACACAAAGCACAGUCAAAGCACACCAACACCUAACCAUGCACUUUAACUAUGGAGGCUUGAGAUCUGCAAGUGUAUGGUAUGUGUUUUGGUAUGCUAUAAAAUGCUAUGUAUAUUAAGGUAUGCUACGUAAUUCCGUUGUAUGUUACUUGGACUGUGUUCAUUUUAAUGUGAUAAUAAAUUGAAUUGCACUGAGACAAAA